Molecule: ribosomal RNA, 253 nt
Filed under: uncultured bacterium
Lineage: Bacteria
Description: partial 16S ribosomal RNA
Rfam family: Bacterial small subunit ribosomal RNA
Source: RNAcentral
UACAGAGGGUGCAAGCGUUAAUCGGAGUUACUGGGCGUAAAGGGCGCGUAGGCGGUUUAGUAAGUGAGAUGUGAAAUCCCUGGGCUUAACCUAGGAACUGCAUCUUAUACUGUUAAGCUAGAGUAUUGUAGAGGGUAGUGGAAUUUCCGGUGUAGCGGUGAAAUGCGUAGAGAUCGGAAGGAACACCAGUGGCGAAGGCGGCUACCUGGACAAAUACUGACGCUGAGGCGCGAAAGCGUGGGGAUCAAACAGG